This 850-nucleotide non-coding RNA is filed under the name Lasmigona subviridis. Lineage: Eukaryota; Metazoa; Mollusca; Bivalvia; Unionida; Unionidae. The record is from RNAcentral.
GUAAUAUUUCAUUGAUGUACAUAAUUAGUUACCUAAAUUAAACUACAUAUGGCAGCCCACACGCAUUGUGUAAUGACCUAUUUCUAGCUAAAUUUUAAAAAUCUAGUCUAGGACAUGGCUCAAGAAGACUUACUUUAGUGUUCAAAUAUUCACAACACCAAUGUUUUAUAUUAUGUUAGCUAGGAAACUAGGCCAUAGAAAAUAAGUAUAAAGGGGUGGCAAAAAAUGGUGCCAGCAGUCGCGGUUAUACCAAUACCCCAAGCUAAUUCUAACAAAUCGGGAUAGUUUUUUCAUUUAUAGACUACAAGAUCAACUUUUAGCGUAAAAAACAAAUUUUAACUAAAUCCUAUCCAGUCAUAAUAAAACUAUCCCAACAAACCAUAACCUCAAAACUCGGAUUAGAUACCCGACUACUGUAUGGCUCAACACACAAAAGAAUACUACGAGCGAAAGCUUAAACCUCAAACAAUGUGGCGGUGCUUUACUCCUCAUCAGGGGAUCCUGUGGCUUAAUUCGAUAAUCCACGAAAAAUCUAAGCUAUUCUUGUUCACAGCUUGUGUAUGGCCGUUUAUGCUUGCUCGCAAAAGAAUAAAAAGGAAGCAAUAGGGUUAGCUACCCAAAAAUUCAGGUGACAUACAGCCAAUGAAAAGCAGAUCCAUGGGAUACAAAUAAAUAUACUAUCAAAUUUAGAGCUUUAAACUUUAAUGAAGGAGGACUUGAAAGUAAGGUUUUUCUUUUUAGAAAAAAAAUCUGAAUAAGAACUAAAGUGCGCACAAAUCGCCCGUCACUCCGACAAUAAAGUAGGAUAAGUCGUAACAUAGUAGGGGUAAUGGAAAUUGCCCCUAUCACA